This 1197-nucleotide ribosomal RNA is filed under the name Halomonas sp. RNAcentral's name for it is "bacterial SSU rRNA". It matches the Rfam family "Bacterial small subunit ribosomal RNA", at positions 212 to 1400 of the family's 1533-position model. Lineage: Bacteria; Pseudomonadati; Pseudomonadota; Gammaproteobacteria; Oceanospirillales; Halomonadaceae. The record is from RNAcentral.
CUCCCGCUAUUGGAUGAGCCUAUGUCGGAUUAGCUAGUUGGUGAGGUAAAGGCUCACCAAGGCAACGAUCCGUAGCUGGUCUGAGAGGAUGAUCAGCCACAUCGGGACUGAGACACGGCCCGAACUCCUACGGGAGGCAGCAGUGGGUGAAUAUUGGACAAUGGGGGCAACCCUGAUCCAGCCAUGCCGCGUAUGUGAAGAAGGCCUUCGGGUUGUAAAGCACUUUCAGCGAGGAAGAACGCCUAGUGGUUAAUACCCAUUAGGAAAGACAUCACUCGCAGAAGAAGCACCGGCUAACUCCGUGCCAGCAGCCGCGGUAAUACGGAGGGUGCAAGCGUUAAUCGGAAUUACUGGGCGUAAAGCGCGCGUAGGUGGCUUGAUAAGCCGGUUGUGAAAGCCCCGGGCUCAACCUGGGAACGGCAUCCGGAACUGUCAAGCUAGAGUGCAGGAGAGGAAGGUAGAAUUCCCGGUGUAGCGGUGAAAUGCGUAGAGAUCGGGAGGAAUACCAGUGGCGAAGGCGGCCUUCUGGACUGACACUGACACUGAGGUGCGAAAGCGUGGGUAGCAAACAGGAUUAGAUACCCUGGUAGUCCACGCCGUAAACGAUGUCGACCAGCCGUUGGGUGCCUAGCGCACUUUGUGGCGAAGUUAACGCGAUAAGUCGACCGCCUGGGGAGUACGGCCGCAAGGUUAAAACUCAAAUGAAUUGACGGGGGCCCGCACAAGCGGUGGAGCAUGUGGUUUAAUUCGAUGCAACGCGAAGAACCUUACCUACUCUUGACAUCCUGCGAACUUGUGAGAGAUCACUUGGUGCCUUCGGGAACGCAGAGACAGGUGCUGCAUGGCUGUCGUCAGCUCGUGUUGUGAAAUGUUGGGUUAAGUCCCGUAACGAGCGCAACCCUUGUCCUUAUUUGCCAGCACGUAAUGGUGGGAACUCUAAGGAGACUGCCGGUGACAAACCGGAGGAAGGUGGGGACGACGUCAAGUCAUCAUGGCCCUUACGAGUAGGGCUACACACGUGCUACAAUGGCCGGUACAAAGGGUUGCCAACUCGCGAGAGUGAGCUAAUCCCGAAAAGCCGGUCUCAGUCCGGAUCGGAGUCUGCAACUCGACUCCGUGAAGUCGGAAUCGCUAGUAAUCGUGAAUCAGAAUGUCACGGUGAAUACGUUCCCGGGCCUUGUACACACCGCCCGUCAC